AGUCAACCUACCCUAUGGACGGGAAUAAUCUCGGGAAACUGAGGAUAAUUCCAGAUAGAACACUAUGCCUGGAACGGUUUGUGUUCCAAAUGAUUUAUCGCCGUAGGAUGGGACUGCGUCCUAUCAGUUUGUUGGUGAGGUAAUGGCCCACCAAGGCUAUUACAGGUACGGGCUCUGAGAGGAGUAGCCCGGAGAUGGGUACUGAGACACGGACCCAGGCCCUAUGGGGCGCAGCAGGCGAGAAAACUUUGCAAUGUGCGAAAGCACGACAAGGUUAAUCCGAGUGGUUCCUGCUAAAGGAACCUUUUGACGGUCCUAAAAACACCGUUGAAUAAGGGGUGGGCAAGUUCUGGUGUCAGCCGCCGCGGUAAAACCAGCACCUCAAGUGGUCAGGAUGAUUAUUGGGCCUAAAGCAUCCGUAGCCGGCUCUGUGAGUUUUCGGUUAAAUCUGUGCGCUCAACGUACAGGCUGCCGGGAAUACUGCAGAGCUAGGGAGUGGGAGAGGUAGACGGUACUUGGUAGGAAGGGGUAAAAUCCUUUGAUCUAUUGAUGACCACCUGUGGCGAAGGCGGUCUACCAGAACACGUCCGACGGUGAGGGAUGAAAGCUGGGGGAGCAAACCGGAUUAGAUACCCGGGUAGUCCCAGCUGUAAACCAUGCAAACUCAAUGAUGCAUUGGCUUGAAGCCAAUGCAGUGUU
Molecule: ribosomal RNA, 699 nt
Filed under: uncultured marine archaeon
Lineage: Archaea
Description: bacterial SSU rRNA
Rfam family: Archaeal small subunit ribosomal RNA
Source: RNAcentral